AGAGUUUGAUCCUGGCUCAGAACGAACGCUGGCGGCGUGCUUAACACAUGCAAGUCGAACGGGGUUAAAUUUGUAGCAAUACAGAUAUAACUUAGUGGCGGACGGGUGAGUAACACGUAGGUAACCAACCCUAAAGCGGGGGACAACCCAGGGAAACUUGGGCUAAUACCACAUAAGACCACGGACUGGGAGGUCUGUGGUAAAAGGAGCAAUCCACUUUAGGAUGGGCCUGCGGCCUAUCAGGUAGUUGGCGGGGUAAAGGCCCACCAAGCCUAAGACGGGUAGCCGGACUGAGAGGUUGAACGGCCACACUGGAACUGAGAUAUGGUCCAGACUCCUACGGGAGGCAGCAGUGGGGAAUUUUGCGCAAUGGGCGAAAGCCUGACGCAGCGACGCCGCGUGGAGGAUGAAGGUUUUCGGAUUGUAAACUCCUUUUGUCGGGGAAGAUAAUGACGGUACCCGAUGAAUAAGCCACGGCUAACUCUGUGCCAGCAGCCGCGGUAAGACAGAGGUGGCAAGCGUUGUUCGGAAUUACUGGGCUUAAAGGGCGCGUAGGUGGUGGCAUAAGUCCGAGGUGGAAGGCUAAGGCUUAACCUUAGAAUUGCCUUGGAAACUGUAUCACUUGAGUAAGCGAGGGGAUGGC
RNAcentral lists this ribosomal RNA (643 nucleotides) under uncultured Nitrospirota bacterium. RNAcentral describes it as "bacterial SSU rRNA". It matches the Rfam family "Bacterial small subunit ribosomal RNA", at positions 8 to 662 of the family's 1533-position model. The record is from RNAcentral. Lineage: Bacteria; Pseudomonadati; Nitrospirota.